AUACGGAGGGUGCGAGCGUUAAUCGGAAUUACUGGGCGUAAAGCGUACGUAGGUGGUUUGUUAAGUCAGAUGUGAAAGCCCUGGGCUCAACCUGGGAAUGGCAUUUGAAACUGACGAGCUAGAAUAUGGUAGAGGGAAGUGGAAUUCCGGGUGUAGCGGUGAAAUGCGUAGAUAUCCGGAGGAACACCAGUGGCGAAGGCGGCUUCCUGGACCAAUAUUGACGCUGAGGUACGAAAGCGUGGGUAGCAAACAGGAUUAGAAACCCCGGUAGUCC
Molecule: ribosomal RNA, 274 nt
Filed under: uncultured bacterium
Lineage: Bacteria
Description: partial 16S ribosomal RNA
Rfam family: Bacterial small subunit ribosomal RNA
Source: RNAcentral